Molecule: ribosomal RNA, 545 nt
Filed under: Enterococcus faecalis
Lineage: Bacteria; Bacillati; Bacillota; Bacilli; Lactobacillales; Enterococcaceae
Description: bacterial SSU rRNA
Rfam family: Bacterial small subunit ribosomal RNA
Source: RNAcentral
GAAAUUUGAUAUGCUAGAGAACGCUGGCGGCGUGCCUAAUACAUGCAAGUCGAACGCUUCUUUCCUCCCGAGUGCUUGCACUCAAUUGGAAAGAGGAGUGGCGGACGGGUGAGUAACACGUGGGUAACCUACCCAUCAGAGGGGGAUAACACUUGGAAACAGGUGCUAAUACCGCAUAACAGUUUAUGCCGCAUGGCAUAAGAGUGAAAGGCGCUUUCGGGUGUCGCUGAUGGAUGGACCCGCGGUGCAUUAGCUAGUUGGUGAGGUAACGGCUCACCAAGGCCACGAUGCAUAGCCGACCUGAGAGGGUGAUCGGCCACACUGGGACUGAGACACGGCCCAGACUCCUACGGGAGGCAGCAGUAGGGAAUCUUCGGCAAUGGACGAAAGUCUGACCGAGCAACGCCGCGUGAGUGAAGAAGGUUUUCGGAUCGUAAAACUCUGUUGUUAGAGAAGAACAAGGACGUUAGUAACUGAACGUCCCCUGACGGUAUCUAACCAGAAAGCCACGGCUAACUACGUGCCAGCCGCCGCGGUAAUUGCGA